Molecule: long non-coding RNA, 1987 nt
Organism: Ahaetulla prasina
Lineage: Eukaryota; Metazoa; Chordata; Lepidosauria; Squamata; Colubridae
Exons: 4
Source: RefSeq, a predicted model, not a curated record
GGUGCAACAAAUUUUACAUCAAGAACAGGGCCUGGGACUUCAUCUAAUAGAAACAGGAAAGAAUGUUGAAGGCUUCUUCUUCAGAUGAUCUGCAACAUUUCCCAGUAACAAGGCCCCUUCAGGAUGGCUACUACUAAUGAGGCGGGAUCAGAAUCACAAUAUGUGAAGCCUGUGAAGAAUGCACAGAAGAUGAAGUGUUUGCCAAUUUUUCAAUGUUCUAAGAUUCAUAAUGGUAUCAAUAUAUACCAUUGGGAAGGGAACACAGGCCAUGAGGGACAGAGGACAAUGAAUUAGAAGAAUGGUGAAGUGAUCAGAUGUUUGCUGAAUUCAAUGCUGACAGUUUCACAAGUAGAUCAACAAAUUAUGGCGCCAAGGCCAUCCACAUCAAAACCCUCUACUUCACAUGAAAUACCAGGUGAAUUAAUAUGUAUCUCAUGUGUCUCAGACAAAAGCAGGAGGCCAGUGCUUUACCCUGAUUGCUGAAAGACAUAACAGGAUAAAGAACAAUAUAUUCAUGAUUAUGAAAAGAAGGAAAGUGUAUGCUUACCGUGUGAGCAUAUUGAAGUCCCGCUAAAAGGCAGGUUACUAAAUUCUUUUUAAACUGGGAUUUAAUUUCGGACAGAGCACCAAUUGACUACAUUUGUGGUGACACCCUGAAGAAUUAUUAAAAUAUUUUUUGUGUCCUGUAAUGAAGUUUUAGCAUGUGAAUUUGUGGAUUCACAUGCUAAAUUGCCAGCAGCAUUGUCACAUGGAAAAUAGCCAAACAUUAGACUACCAAAUCAACUUGUAUCAACAUAUUCAUUUCCAGUUUUACAAUGUUUAUGUGCAGUUGGAAUUAUACAGACUGUUUGAUGGGUUGGGGGAGAGGUGUCAAUACCAUGACACUGAUUCUGUUAAAAAUGUAGCAAGGGAAUGUGGACACCCCCCUUAGAUGAUUAAGGCGGCUGAUGAAUGAGAUUCCACAAAACACCACCAUCAUUGAGUUUGUGGUAGUUGGUCCCAAAAUGUAUGAAUAUGCUUUGCCAAAUGGGAUGACAGUGUUAAAAGUGAAAAGAUUUACACAAAAAACUGCCAAUUGUUGUAAGGUUAACUUUGAGAGCUUGAAAGACUCGGCUGAUGAUUAUUGUUUAUGUGAUGAGGAAGAGAAGAAAGAGAUCAAAGUAGAAUUAGGUGCUCAGAAAAACUCUAAAAGUAAAUAAUAAAAGCGUUCUCAAAGUUGAGAAUUACUGUGUGCUACCUUAUCGUUAUUAAGUAUGGUGGAAAACUGCACAGUCUGUACAUCCUUUUUCUUGUAUCAUACAGAAUUGGUCUGUCCAAUUCUGGUAAAUCUUUUUUUAUAAAGCAAAUGUUAGAACAUGGUGAGACUAUUAUUUCAAAUGCGUCAAACUAAUUGCAUGGGUUUCUAACUAUUGGCAACCCUUGCACAAAAAACUGCUUAAUAAAUAUCCCAGUAUUAAGUUUAUGGAGAGUCCUCUAGCCCCUUUUGAAGAUACUGACUUGUUUCAACCCCAUCAAAUCAAUAUAGCAAUGGUAGAUACCUCAUGGCCUCAGACAAGGACAACAAAGAGAGAAAGCCUUUUACACUGUAUGUUUGUCACAGAAAUCUGAGUAUUAUUAUCAUAUUUCAAAACCUGUUUUUUCAAGGUAAAGAAAUGAAAGCAAUAGCUCUGAAUGCAAAAUAUUUGGUAUUAUUCUGAUGCCUCUGCAACUUGAUGCAAAUUGUCACAUUGUCAGGGCACAUGUAUCCCAGUAACACUUGGUAUGUUUUAGAAGUAUGCCAAGAUGCCACUGGCAAACCCCAUGGUUUAUAUUUUGGUUGAUCUGGCAGACACUACACCAGGAUACUACAGUUUCUUUCUUCCUGAUUGGCCUGCAGUGUAUACUAUGAAAAAGAAGGGGUAAAAACAGUAGCUUAAGCAGCUGUAUCUCAGCUCAUUCAGGAUGUCUGGGAGGGUACACAGAAAUUGGGGGAUUUUUAAAAUCUUGA